Cucurbita moschata (crookneck pumpkin) is the source of this 229-nucleotide long non-coding RNA. RefSeq lists it as uncharacterized. Lineage: Eukaryota; Viridiplantae; Streptophyta; Magnoliopsida; Cucurbitales; Cucurbitaceae. The record is from RefSeq and is a predicted model, not a curated record. The transcript has 2 exons.
UUUUUUUUUUUAAGAAAACAUUACACGUGUAUAUAUAGCUACAAAAACUGAUAAAUGUGGAACAUACUUCUUUAGAAAAGAGGAAAGAGUCCCUAUAAAUAGAUGAUGGUUGAGCGGGGAAAAAAAUUACAACUACGUAGAAUAUUUGUUGACGCUGCUAAUUCCUGCAUUUUCCACUUUUUCUUCAUUGCCUUCUAUGCUGAGGUGCGGACCGCGAUCGUAAGGAUCC